CAGCAAAAAGCAGAGAAAGGAGGAAUUCACUCCUUUUGCUCCUGUCUCACUGCUUAAGCAGGGACAUCUCUUCUGAACUAUGCCAUCAGCUUUCCUGAGUCUCCAGUUUAUAGGCAGCACAUCAUGGGACUUCUCAGCCUCCAUAAUCCCGAAUACAAAAUACAUCCACCAAAUGGAUACCAUGUACCUGAGGAUUCAUGAAUCUGCCCUAGCAACAGUCCUGCAUCUGGUUUUGAGCACACUUUUUGCAAAUGGAGCUACUACUUGACUGAGCUCGGGUAGUCCACCUUGAUACAGAACAGAGAGGGAGCUUGUGCAAAUUCACAGAGAAAACUGUGGAGCCAGAAAAGACAUACUGUUCUUUCCAAUAUGAUGUGGAAGUCUGAAAGAUUAGGAAUUGUUUGGUAAGAAAAAAAUAUACAUAGCUAUUUGUGGAUGACAAUGCCCUGACACUGUUCCUCCUUUCUGUCCUUGGUUGGGGGCCUGCCUCAUUUCUCAUUGAGGGGAAUUCCUUCAUCAGGACCUGCUACGCUAAUGGUCACGGACCAAUGUUCUUUUUGCUGUUUGAACAGAAUGCUUGCCUUGUGUAUGUCCAGUCACAAAGUUCCCUUGAUAAAAACCAUAUGAAAAUACCACAAAGCCAAAGGGCAAUAAAUAUUGUUACAUAGA
Molecule: long non-coding RNA, 669 nt
Filed under: Homo sapiens (human)
Lineage: Eukaryota; Metazoa; Chordata; Mammalia; Primates; Hominidae
Description: HSALNT0331728
Source: RNAcentral